AAAAUCCGUCGACUUUUAAAAUCGUGAGGGUUCAAGUCCCCUCUAUCCCCAAAAAGGCCUAUUUG
Molecule: transfer RNA, 65 nt
Filed under: Campylanthus salsoloides
Lineage: Eukaryota; Viridiplantae; Streptophyta; Magnoliopsida; Lamiales; Plantaginaceae
Description: partial tRNA-Leu
Source: RNAcentral